CGGGUGCUAUAAUGCAGUAGAACGCUGAAGUCUGGUGCUUGCACUAGACGGAUGAGUUGCGAACGGGUGAGUAACGCGUAGGUAACCUGCCUCAUAGCGGGGGAUAACUAUUGGAAACGAUAGCUAAUACCGCAUAACAGUAUUUACCGCAUGGUAGAUAUUUGAAAGGAGCAAUUGCUUCACUAUGAGAUGGACCUGCGUUGUAUUAGCUAGUUGGUGAGGUAACGGCUCACCAAGGCUUCGAUACAUAGCCGACCUGAGAGGGUGAUCGGCACACUGGGACUGAGACACGGCCCAGACUCUACGGGAGGCAGCAGUAGGGAAUCUUCGGCAAUGGGGGCAACCCUGACCGAGCAACGCCGCGUGAGUGAAGAAGGUUUUCGGAUCGUAAAGCUCUGUUGUAAGAGAAGAACUGUGAGAAGAGUGGAAAGUUUCUCACUUGACGGUAUCUUACCAGAAAGGGACGGCUAACUACGUGCCAGCAGCCGCGGUAAUACGUAGGUCCCGAGCGUUGUCCGGAUUUAUUGGGCGUAAAGCGAGCGCAGGCGGUUUGAUAAGUCUGAAGUAAAAGGCUGUGGCUUAACCAUAGUACGCUUUGGAAACUGUCAAACUUGAGUGCAGAAGGGGAGAGUGGAAUUCCAUGUGUAGCGGUGAAAUGCGUAGAUAUAUGGAGGAACACCGGUGGCGAAAGCGGCUCUCUGGUCUGUAACUGACGCUGAGGCUCGAAAGCGUGGGGAGCGAACAGGAUUAGAUACCCUGGUAGUCCACGCCGUAAACGAUGAGUGCUAGGUGUUGGGUCCUUUCCGGGACUCAGUGCCGCAGCUAACGCAUUAAGCACUCCGCCUGGGGAGUACGACCGCAAGGUUGAAACUCAAAGGAAUUGACGGGGGCCCGCACAAGCGGUGGAGCAUGUGGUUUAAUUCGAAGCAACGCGAAGAACCUUACCAGGUCUUGACAUCCCGAUGACCGCCCUAGAGAUAGGGUUUCUCUUCGGAGCAUCGGUGACAGGUGGUGCAUGGUUGUCGUCAGCUCGUGUCGUGAGAUGUUGGGUUAAGUCCCGCAACGAGCGCAACCCCUAUUGUUAGUUGCCAUCAUUCAGUUGGGCACUCUAGCGAGACUGCCGGUAAUAAACCGGAGGAAGGUGGGGAUGACGUCAAAUCAUCAUGCCCCUUAUGACCUGGGCUACACACGUGCUACAAUGGCUGGUACAACGAGUCGCAAGUCGGUGACGGCAAGCUAAUCUCUUAAAGCCAGUCUCAGUUCGGAUUGUAGGCUGCAACUCGCCUACAUGAAGUCGGAAUCGCUAGUAAUCGCG
RNAcentral lists this ribosomal RNA (1315 nucleotides) under Streptococcus suis. RNAcentral describes it as "bacterial SSU rRNA". It matches the Rfam family "Bacterial small subunit ribosomal RNA", at positions 43 to 1346 of the family's 1533-position model. Lineage: Bacteria; Bacillati; Bacillota; Bacilli; Lactobacillales; Streptococcaceae. The record is from RNAcentral.